Molecule: long non-coding RNA, 17744 nt
Filed under: Mytilus galloprovincialis (Mediterranean mussel)
Lineage: Eukaryota; Metazoa; Mollusca; Bivalvia; Mytilida; Mytilidae
Rfam family: mir-315 microRNA precursor family (bases 17495-17576)
Source: RNAcentral
AUUUAAAUCUCCAUUUAUGAUGUCACAAAGAAUUCUACAAUGUAAAAGGUAAGUUGGUGUUGCAUUCAUAACCUUUUCUCCGUAAAAUUCCUUUAAUUUUUGAAGAUGAAAUGUAAAAAGAAAUUAAUAACGAAAUCUAUUCUAAAAAACAGAAUGUCUUAUUUGACAUUGAAUUCCUUGGAAUAAGUUUUCUUCUAAAACAAACAUUCGAAGAAACUACAUCGAUCAGUCCACGUGGAUCUAUAAUGGAAUACAUUUGUUAUGUUCUGGAUGGUUCUCUAGAUAGCACUGCAUAACCAAAACACCACAUGGGAAUGUCGGAUCUCCGAUAGUACUGUAUAACUAUAUGGUAUUAUUUCCCCAGUAUGCUGUUUAUUAAAACAAUGACAGUUUUGUAGUAAACUUCCUUACACUUAUUUUUAUUUUCAACAAAACGUAUUUGUUUGUUCAUAUAAAUGAAAAUAUAGCCUGUACAUUAUGGGUUACAGUCAUAUAAUUUACCCGGACUCGGAAAUAAAACAAUCAAAAUACUGGAUUUGAUACUUCGAGCCGAAAUCUUGUACUACGAGGACCGAGUAACGUUUUCUAAUUUUCUAACCAAACGGAUAUAUGACUUUUGUGAAGAUUCUGCUUUACACUUGAGCAUUGGUGUUCUAAGACUGUUCUGCUAGUACUGGCGUUCAAAAUAUUCAGAAGUUAUUGCAUGAAAUAUCAGUUGGGUUUUCAUUUUCAUUAUUUUUGUAUGGUCACUUGUAUAUUUUCAUCUUAAUUGGUGCUGUUCAGCCUCGUUUGUCGUCUGCAAGAAGCUGGUGGUGUAGUAAAUUCUCAACAAUAUUUUGUUGGUGUGUAGUAUAUUUCCUUAUUUACUCCUUCUUCUCACAUUCAAUGAUACUCAUUUUCUCUUUAUAUAUGAUGUUUUAUGAAAUACAUUAUCUUAAGGCUGUAGUAAAGGAAUUUUAAAGAACCAUAGUUUGACAGCUAGUUUAGAGUUUUUGAUGGUUUCUGCAUGUGCAGCUACUUUUUCUUCUUCUUUCAAUUAUCACUAGGCAAUUGUUUCUUCAAUUUUCAGAUAAUUUAUCUUUCCCCAGAAUAUUCAAUUGUCGUAUUUGAUCCUCAUAAGUCAUUUCUAGGUAUACCAUUUGCAAUUUUGAAGAUCACAUAUACAUAUUUUUAUUUAUUAAUUGUUUCAUUCUAAAUAAUGAUACAAAUAAACAAAUAAACGCCCAAGAGUCUGCAACUCUGCUUAUGAACUCUCUUCCAAUAACUUGUCUUUUAACAUAGCUAUAACCUAUAAUGAGUUUGCCUCUGACGCGGUGAUUACGUUUAACUCUCCCUUUAGAACUUUCUUACCAGAGCUUAGCCACUGUUCUUUAUGUCUGUUAAAGCUGUAACUCUGUUGCCGGUACAUCUUUUCUUAUUACAGGUUUGUCUAUGUUUUGUUCGCUAAUGAAACAUCAAUUGGUGCAGCUUUGAUAUGGAACAUUUGCUUAUAGAUGUAUUCCUAUAUGAGUUUGUCUAUAUCAUAUCUGGAACUGUAAUUAUAAAGCUUUUUCUAGAGAUUAUCUUUAUUGUGUCUAUCAGUUUCAUAUCGGCAAUACUAUUUAUGGAACAUUUUUUUAAGAGCUUGUCCUUUGAUAUUUGUCAGCAACGUAUAUCUUCUUGUUUUAUUGGGGCUGUACAGUGUUGCUUAGAUUGUUUCAGACAUAUCUCUUGUCACAUAGAACUGUAUUAUAACAUUUUCUUCUUAUUGUUAACUCUAUGUCCAUUUAUUUAUAUAAAGCAAAUUAUUUACAGAGAGCAGACAUAAGUAUUGGUUGGGAAGACUUAUAUAUAUACUACACCUCAUAGUAUAUUUAUGGAACUGUGUGUCUACCCUCUUGGUCAAUACCACCACACGUUGUUACGGCCUCUUACGUUUCUUUUAAGGGUUAGUUUUUAAAACCUCCAAUGAUUGCAUUGCUUUAUACCACCACAUGUUAGACAGCCUCUUACGUUCCUUUUAAUGGUUAGAUUUUAAAACCCAUACUGAUUGAAUUGCUUUAUGGUUCUAGUCUUUAAAUUAUGUAGCAUUUUGUGUUUUUCCCUGUAAUAUGUUUUGGAUUUAAACAUUUGAAAACACAGGCAUUUUUUUUCCAAAUAUAGACAUAAUAUUCCAUCCAUGCUUCUGAUAUUAUAGUAACAAUCUAAUGGGGAUUUUUGAAUAAUAUCACUUGAACAUGAUAAAAAACAUAUAAAUUGUUCUGAAAAAAGAUUAUACUUAUGUGAAAAUCUAUAUAAUACUUAUUUUCUAUUAAAAGCCUAAACAUAUGUUGCCAAUGUUACGCCAUGCAUGUUGAUUUUCUACAUUCCGAUCAUUUUUGUUGACGGAUUUUAUCAAUUUUCCUGAUUUGUAUAUAACUAUGCAUAGAAACGCACGAGGAAAACUGGAAAAGUAACAGAUUGACACGUUCUUGAAUAAGAGUUGAAUCACUUAUCCACAAAAGCAGUAAGGACAAUAACGUCCACACGUGACCCAAAACUUGAAAAUUAUUAAGUUACAAUCGAUGUUCGAUCUUAUAUGAUUUGAUUAAGAUAAUUACAGAAAAUACAUAUUUUUUUUCACAUUUAACAAACUGCCAUGACCACAAUGAGUUGGGGUCUACUACAAGUAUUGCUGGUAUUUGGGUUCAUUUCAUUUCUGUGUUUUUACAAGGAAGUAUUUAACCAUGCCAACAUUAUUUUUGAAAAUAAACCAUAAAACCGGCAUUUAACAACAGUUCGUAAUGGUUCAAAGACGUCAAACUAAAAUUGUCCCAGACAUGCGUAGGAGGAUUUCAUAUUGACAAUGUUCUUUACAACUGAUCAUCGGUUUUUAUGAAUUUUAAAUGAGAAGUUUGAAAGAUUAUAUUUGCCCAUAUAGAAGUAUAACACGUUGUUAUACAUUAUCUUAUAUAUUGACGUAUAUUUUAUAACAUUUGACGUAAAGAAAUAUAUUUGCACAGUUUUAUUGUGAUAACGAAUCAAUGUUUAAUCAAUGUUUCAGUGAAAUGCAUUUGUUAUAUUUUCCUCGAGAAUUAGCAUAAAAAAUAAGAAGGGUCGGUUAAUAUUAUAUGGAAAAGUGCCAAAGUGACAUCAACCACAACACAUCAAGACAUCACAAGUUCAGGUUUAAACAUAUAACUAUGAGUGACCAUAUCCUACGACCUAAUAUGUACACAUUUGUUAUCCGUUGUGUCCAUGGUUAAAAGUAAAAUUUAAAAUCAUUGCCAUAUGCAUUUCCAUUCUUGAUCUUAGAAGGUUAUUCAAUAAGCUGUGAUUGAUAUGAAUACGACAAGUGUAUGAGUAGUACCUUUUUGGAUACACUUUUAAUGUUUCAGAGGGAAAUAACUGUUUUAAGAACAUGCAUAGGACACAGACACCCUGACUCUAAACCAUCACCAAAAAAAACCAAACUAAAAUCACUCAACACUCACUUAAAUUUGGUACCAGUCAAAUAUACUAAAACUAUCUUUGCAAACAAGAGUGAUAUUUGAUAUUGAUUUGAAAUGUUCGCAUCGGACUCAAAAUGAGAAACGUAGACAUAUUUUUUUAUAUAAGAAAUGACGAGAAUGUGAUGUGUUACUUCGCUCUAUUUACAUAUAUGAAUUUUCAGUUACAUGCAUCCUUCAUUGGGUUGCAACAAAUGAUGUUUACUAUAGGAAAUCAAAAUAAUUCAUAUUAUGUAUAAUUUUCCUUUUCAGAACACAAAUACAGAUAUGUAGAGAAAUUGAAAAGAAAUGCAUAAAUGUUUAAAGGUAAGUUUUCAAGAGGUAUUUGUAUAACAUUAUUACUUAUAUUAUACAUCAAACGAAUCAAUAGUAGAUAAUGCUGAAAUGAAAAUUGCAAUGGUUGUUGUAAACAUAUGGUUUUUUUUAAGUCGAAAAAGCAGUAACGAAUACUUAGAUUUGUAAGGUUUAGUACAGCAACGAAACAAGUUGCAACAAAAAGGGACAAGGAGGCGAUAACUUUUAAGCUGAACUUGAUCGGUAACUACAAGAUUGAAUCAUAUUUUGAAUAUGAGCUUCAAUCUAUGCAUCACAAUCACAAUCUCUGAUAUAUUUGUCUGACAUAAAUCUACUAUAGUGUAUCCCUCUGCAGGGACUUUCUAUACUUAGUAUAGAAAGUCCCUGCCCUCUGUUUUUUUUUAUGGAACAAUAAGGCAUUAUACCAAAGUAACUGUUAAAAUGUAAACUUCACUUUGGUCAUGUAAACAUUUGAAUUAUACAAGGGAAAAUUUGUGUGUCUACCGUAUAAUGUCUCUACUUGAAGACCUGUCCAAUAUAUUUAACUUCAUCGAAAAGUAGCCAACUGGCUCUUAAAUAACCAGUUUGGAAAUAUUGUUGUCCCCAAAAAGAACAAACGAUGCACCCGAUAUGUCUGCACAAUAUGCACACCUUGGUAAUAACACUAUUGUUCGAUUAAGAAGCAGCUUUGACUUCAGUUCUACUCUUUACUUUAUAAUCCUGGUACCUUUGAUUUAAAGAAAACACCAUUCUAAAUCUGAAAAAAAAAACGACAAUUUUAAUUCUCUCUAAAUCAUCAAAAUGGAGAAACUCGAACAAUCUUUCGAACUACCUGAUUAAAUGUCUGGUCAUUAUUUGCACCUUCACCUUAAGAUUACAAAGUAGCCUUUCCUGACCAUCAAGUUGGACUCCUUCGAUACGUUUAAUUAUUUAGUCUUGUCUUAGUAAAAAAAGAUGAUUUCAGUCAAUGCUACAUCAUCCCUAUACAUAUCAAUACUGGAAUUAUUCAGUGUAAUUAAGUACUAGGAAUUCAUUGAUUUUGGAACACUUUUUUGAUAGUAAAAGAAUACAAAUUCCAAAAGAGGGACGAAAGAUACCACGGGGACAGUCAAACUCAUAAAUCGAAAAUAAACUGAAAAAUGAAAAAGACAAACAGACAAACAAUAGUACACAAGACACAACAUAGAAAACUAAAGGAUAAACAACCCUUAUCGCAUCAAACACUAGGGGUGAUCUCAGGUGCUCCGGAAGGGUAAGCAGAUCCUGCUCCACAUAUGGCACCCGUCGUGUUGCUAUGUAAUAACAAAUCCUAACCUUCCUUAACGCGCAUCUGGCGUAUAUACUAAAUUUAGUCCUGGUAUCUAUGAUGAGUUUAUUUACAAACUAUAUAUUCAAAAAAGGCAUUCAGUACAUUGUUUGUGGCAUUCGUAUGAUUGUUCUUUUCUGUUCUGAUUUGAACAUUCAUCUUUAAACAUGAUCCCAGGACAGGUGUAUCGAUAGUUUUUUAUACCAUUGUUUCAAUAUUAACAACAUAUUGGUUUAUGAUCACUGAAAUCUGCAAAAAGAAAAGGUUUGGUAAGACCAUUAUGUGUCCCUUUAUAACGAUUACAUACAGUUAUGUAAAUCAUUUAAACAAAUGAAAUGUUCAGAUGAUAACAGUAGUGAUACACUAUAAUAAUUUUUCCUUCAUAUUUUUGCUUUAGGUUUUCAAUAUUUUUACAUUCAAUGAAACUAUUGAAAUUCAAUAAAUGUUUUAUUUUCAUGUCUUUCAAGCUUUUUGAAUUCAAGGAAAUUGUUAAAAUGCCAAAAACUAUUUUAAGUCUUAUAGUGAAAAUUUCAAAAUGUAGAAUAGGUUUCCCAAAGAUAUAUUGGUCUACAAGAAUACUCGAGAAUAUAUGAUGCUGAUGGGAAGCAAGAUAAUUUUUUCCAGUGAGCUUUUACCUUACUAUAGGGAAAAAUAAAAUUUGGAAAUUGAUUUCUUUUUAAAUUGUUCAAAAAUUUGUGAAGACACACACUAGUUGCUUUUCACCUAUAAUCAAUGAAGGCUUUAUUAAUUCAGAUUGAUAAACAUAUUCAAGAAAUAUUGACUAUCUUUGUUAGGGGUCACGUACUUGUUUAGGAAGAUUAAAAAGUCUGAAAUAAUUACAGAGCAACAGAAAAACCAUUAAUGAUUUAUAAAUUAAAGGUUUGAAAAAAAUCUUGUUUUUUUCCAUAAAAUAUUGUAAUGGAAUUCAUUGUUACUUAUAUUGAUCUCUCCCCGGGAUAACAAUGGUAACAUUUCUUCCAACCGGAAGUAACUAACUUAAUAUGUCCGUUGCCUGAUUGGUUUACGUAGUAAUCUCACGUGUAGUUUUAUAUUUAUGGAAUUUAUUCCGGAAAUAGUUCUUGAUUCAUAAGAUAGAGAUUUUCCAGAAUAAAUUAAGAAAUUAUGAAAGCUGCUAGUUCGAUUUUUUUUUCCUUUUCAUAUCAUUGUUUCAAUUAUUAAUAGGAACCCGUCACAUACUUCGACUCCUGGUAUUUAAAAGCAAGAAGAUUCUUAAUCAAAAACUAUAUCUUAUUCGACAACAAGAUGUACCAAAAGGAAGAAUGAUUCACUUAUCAAAUUAACUUUCAGAGUCAAAUUCCAGUAUUUCAACGCUGAUUUCCAAUAUACUCAUGGAUGUCAUUCGGUUUAACGCGAGAAAUGAUCGUGAAGAAUAUCUAACGACGGUCAAGUAUUGGGUGACGAUCGUGAAAGCUCUGGUACCAGAUCAUGAAAGACAUUUAAUGUUAAUGCUAGUUCAGAAUCUGUGAAAAAAUCGCUUAAUUUUCAAAACGCGGAACAAAUCCGAACAAAAAAUGUGUCUGUCAAAAUGAUCCAACUUUCUCAAAAUUACUGUGCAAUAAGAUAAAGAAAAUAUGCAGUACUUUAUGAAAAAACACAAAAGGCGCAAUGCAUGUCUACGGAAUUAAUUAAAAAGAACACGCAAAUUGUACCUAUAAUGAUCAUAUUUCAUAAUAUCAUGAUAUAUUUGGAAUUUAAUCUUUGAUGUAUCUGGUAGUACAGUAAAAUAAAAGUAUACUCUUCCCUUUAAAGCGUUUAUUUGUUUAUGAAAACCUUGAAUUUAGUUGAAUUUUCAUCAAACUUGAUCGUGAAAGAUCAUGCAACCCAUUAUUGUGAUUGUGAAAGAUAAUGCGUGACGAGACUUAAUACUAGUAAUUAGAAAUCAAUAUUUCUUUAACCGUUUGAUAUACCAGCAACUGGUUGAAUCCUGUAACUAUUUUGAUAAGGAUGAACAUUAAAGCUAUUUUUUUCAAUUCAACACUUUACUCGAAAGGUAAAAAACAACUUAAAACGUGUCAAAUCAAUGUGAAAAAUUCAGCUCUGAGAAUUGGUCUAGUAAAAUUCAGGAAGUCAACCACUAUUUAGCCAAUAUUAUGGGUAUGCAACUUUCAAACCAAAAUGUUAACCAUCAACCAAAAACCUAUAGCAAAACAGCAUCUUUCAUGAACUAUUCGAUAUUGAACGAUAACCAACAUUUUGUGCAACAGUACCUUAUUAAUUUCUAUGUAUCUUCAUAUACAACGUACAGUGUAGCAGAUGUGGAAUGAUUCCCAAUGAGAUAACUAUAUACUACAGACUUAAGAAUACUACAUCGUAAAUGCCGAAAUGUUUCGUCUGCUUUAUUCAUAAUAUUAUAUCUGUAAUAUUAAGGAUUUUUCUAGAAGUGUCAAAUACACUUAAUAUUGUCAUUGGUUCAUAAAAAGAGGGCAAAGUCAGAUUUACCAUGCCAUACAGAUCUCUACAAACAUCCUGUACACCAAAUAUAGGUGUUCCGAACUGACAAACGUAAAAGUUAUGUUUGGUCAAUUUAUCUGGAACAUAAGGUGGAAAAUAUAUGAACCCUGACGUCGCGACUUCUAUAAAAAAGAAUUUUGCAAUUGUACAGGAACUGCUUGGUUUCUUUAAACGGAUAUCGCAUUGAUAUUGUUGAGGGUGUACUCCAUAACCUCAAAAUGUCCGAAAACAAUAAUAUGCAAUUAUUUGAAAAGUCAAACUUCUUAUUUGCUAUAAGAUUGAACAACAUCAAAAGAUACCAUAGGAAUUCAAACCUUGCUAUUUCUUUAAUUGCAAUUGGCAAUAACUUCACAAUUUUAUUCAUUUCCACAUCAUCUUCACAAUAUUCUUGUGUUGUUUCUGCUGUUUAUUUGGCUCAUCUACACUGGAUUGCUUUUUUCGGCGUUUUGUUGACCAUUGUCUUUUCUUAUUGCCGAGGUUGUUAUUUCUUUUUAAUAUGAAAAUGCUUAAAUUAUUUGAGGAUCUUUGAUAAUCUAAUUUUUCUCAAGAUUAAUAACAAAUAUUAAUUAUCGUAUAAUUGAAGAAUAAUUUUAACGUCUUCGUAGCAUCAGAUCUUUCACGAUUCUUUUCACGAUCUUCAAAAAGCGGUACGUGAUCUUUCACGAAUCGAAAAAACAAUUUUGUGUAAAUAUUUCUCUUUUUACCAAGUUUAAGAUUAUGUUUAUACAAAAUAACUAUGAGAACCAUUUGAUUGAUUCAAAUAGAAUGCCCUUAUUCGGAUAAAGGUGGUUUAUUUUAUUCGAAUUUGUAAAAACUAAUGUUUGUUUACAUUUUUAUGUCAUUGAAAUGUCGAGAAGCAAUCUACCUUUUGUUGUUUUUUAAAAACUAUGUACUUUUAAAACUGGAUUUUCUCACAUACUGAUCAUAAUGUUGAACUAUUUUGACAGACAGUUUUAUUUUGUUAUAAAUUUGUCCGUGUUAUUAAAUAAAUAAGAUUAUUUACUGAUCUUUCAUAUGUAUUCUCGAUUAAAUGUCUUUCACGAUUCGGUAUCAGAGCUUUUACGAUCGUCUCGCAAUACUUGACCACCAUUAGAUAUUCCUUCAUGAUCAUUUCUCUUGUUAAACCGAAUGACACCCGUGAUACUAGUACUAUAGUAAUUAAUCUAUUGAUCAUUUUCAAUAGGUUUAUAUGUUGUUUUUCUUGAAGCUGUACUGCUCCGGUUUUAAAAAGUGUCAGACCUUUACCAAAGAUUGCAAGAAAACCUCAUGGGAUUUCGUUCAGCCAAUAAUAAAACACGUUUUUUGUGUGUGGAAUAAAAGUCUUCUAAAGCAUGCACUAUCGAUGAUAUACUAGUACAUUAAUGUCUCAACCAGAAAUGUGUCUUUAUUAAAGAUUAUAACAUUCUCCUUGUUGACCUAUCUAAUCACUCUCUAAUUACAACAUUCCUAAUUUUAAAUCUUCUUGAUACAAACUAUGAUAGAACUCUAUGGUACACGUGAUUAUGUAUCAAAAGGCUAACUGUACAACAAUAAAUUACCUGCUUAAGAUUCAGUAUUGUUCGGUUUUGAUCACCUUCUGUUGUUGGGUUUAUACCUCAUUGAGUUGGUAUCAUGAACAAAGGCAAUAGUAUUAUACCGGUGUUCCAAAGUCAUAAACCGAUUGUUAGAAAACAAAUCCCGCUUACAGACUAAAACCGAGGGAAACACAUCAACUAUAAAAGGAAAACAAAGGAACAACAGUAGCACUGAAUAAAACAUAAAAUCACAAAAUUACUGAACUCCGAUGAAAAUCAAAAAAAGAAAGUCCCUAAUCAAUUGACAAAAUACAGGCAUUUUCUUAUGUGGAUUGACCAUGGUUUUAAACUAGCUCAACCUCUCACUUGUAUGAAAGUCACAUCAAAUACCAUUAUAUUGAAAACGAAGUGCAACAAAAACAAACGCCAACAGUGUUAGAAACGGACUACCAUAUUCCUAACUUGGUACAGGGAAACUUUAAGAAAAAUGGUAUCAUGUCUUUUUUCUGCAAAACUCGAAAUGUUAUGCUUUUGAUUCCUAUUUUUUAAGACAAAUUUACUAUCAUAACAACCCCUUCCGUUUAAAAAGUUUUGAAUUAUCGUGCAUAUAAGGUUAUCGUUUAAUAUUUUCAAUUGUCUUAGACUUUGUUAACAACAGUUUCUGUUUAUCAUGUAUCUAUGUAAUUAUUGAUAUUGUAUUUACUUAUCCUUACCCUAAUCAGUGUUGAAUUCCAAACAGGAUCCAUUAGAAUCUUUGAGAAAAUAAACCUUUGCAUAUCUAAUACAAACUUAUAGCUUUUCGUUUUUGCAGAGAUGAUUGUCCAAAAAAAAGGGGACGUAAGGGAACGUUAAGUAUCAGACAACAAGUUAUAUAGAGGCAGAAGCCUACCUUAAAAUGAAACACUUUAUCGGCAGAAGUAGUGAUGUGUUUAAUAUACAUACUUCAAAAGGAAGAGGCCGAUUUCUGUUGAGCCGCAACUCUUCUGAAACCAUACAAAGUCGGAAAAAUUGUUAUAUGACGUAAAAGAGUUGUAAAGUAGUAAUGUAGACGGUAUUGAAUCCUUUCUUUUAGGAAACACGUCAAUUAGAUGAUGAUCAAGAUGACUGAAAAAAAUGCCAGAUAUAGAUAAUUCUGAAGAAAAAAACCCAAUUCUAGUCGGAAAAAAUGAAAACAGGCAUGGAAGAUAUAGAAACAAGAAAUAACUAUCAACACAACAGACCAAUACUCAAAACAGCGGUACUAAAUUUUAAUAUACAUAUAUUCAUAUCUCUUCAUGACAAGUUUUAUAGAUUGAACAUAUAUUUCGUUAAGGACUCUUAAAAUGCAGUCCGAAUAUUCUAGUUGUUAAUUCUUAAGUCAGAAAGAAUCCGAGAAUACAAGGACUUCGAUUAUAAUUGAAUUAUAGAAAACACUCCAAGAUUAAUACGACACCCACCAGAAGUCCAUGACCAGGAAGUGACUUUAAAACAUAAACAUUCUAUUCUUGUUUACUGUAGAAGCUUAUUAUAUACCAUAAGCUUGGUAGGAAAUAUUUAAAAAAGUAAAAUCACAAAAAUACUAAUUCCGUAGAAAAUUCAAAACGGAAAGUCUCUAAUCAAAUGGCAAAAUCAAAUGAUAAAACACAUCAAAGGAAUGGACAACAACUGUCAUAUUCCUGACUUGGUACAGGCAUUUUCAAAUGUUAAUUAUAUGCUGAUAAUUUUUAUAUUUUUCAAGUUAAUACAAUUUAUAGAUAAUUUCCAGCACAACAAAUAUAACAAUGAUAAUCUUCUACCAUGUAUGAUUGAACCACAGCUUGAGAAUUGUUUAUUGCAUAUUUGAUCAAGUUAGUAUUGAUAUUAUUUAUAGAUGAUAACACCACACAUGUCUUUAUUAUCAUUUGUUGAUUUAUUGACCAUCAGAUGUUCAACCAAACGUGUGAUGUUGGUGCAAUUAAAAUGCAGUUACAAAUGAAACAAGCAGAAUAAUACUAUGUAUAGUCUCGUUUAGAAUGAGUAAAUCAGAAAAAAAGAGAAUACCAAAUAUUUGGCGCUAACUUAAUGUAGUAAAUGAUUCAUAAUUGUUCUGUUUACUAAAAUUAGCUGGAAGGCUACCAUUUAGAGUGAAUACUGGUAUGUAAGAUUUUCACCAGAUAUCAAUAAAAAUAAAUCCAUUUUAUUGGCGCGUUACGUUACAUGUAUGAUAUUUGCUUAUGAAAAAAAAAAAAAAAAAAAAAAUACGCGAGAUUGUAUCUUUUCAAAUACAAUGCGCUCUCCAAUAAAACAUAUUUUUGAGUAAACUGAAAAUGUCAGCUGUUGCUGCGAAUUUGUAAAACAAGUUUGAAUAUUCAAUAUGUAGACAUAUUGUACAGAUAAGAAACGGUGGUGUUUGGGAGCACGUAACACCCCACAACAUUCUUUGGCUGCACUAAGACAGCCGGCUAUAUGGACCACAUGGUGUAAGUUAUUGUUUUUUUGUGUUAGGUUUUUUCUAUUGUACUUUCCAAAAAAUGUUGGUUAUUCCUGUUGAUCCUGUUACCCCUUUUUUGUAAUUUUAAAAAUUAACUAUCUAAAAGACAGACUGGGGAUUAUAUAUGUUUUGAUUGUAAAACAAAGGGAUAAUACAAAUCGCCAUAACAUAGAUUUUACUUCAUCAAGCCAAUAAAUAAGUUAAGUUAGUAAACUACACUGCACUUGCUUUAUUUCUAGUUUACUAUUUGUCAUGCACUUGACGGUACAACAACACUCAAUUAUAUGAUCCAUUCCCCUGUGGAACAAAAACCCUAAGUUCAAAAUAAAGACUACAGGGACAAAUAAAGUGACAUCUUAAAUGUCUCUGCUUAAGUGUUUUGUCGUUUUUAUACAAAUUACACUUCUUUAUUGUGUUAUGUACAACUAUUUUAUAUAUUUGCUGCAUUAAAGGAAAAUAAAAAGAUAUAGGAAUGAAUAAAUACAAAAUCCCAAUCCUUCUUUUGGUUUUGAUAUGCUAAACUGUCUUUCUCGCUGACAAUCAUUUUAUAGGUUUGAAAAGUAAUUUUCACAAAUUAUUAAAAAGACAGGUUUUUGUAUUUUCAAUUUAGAAUGUUACGUGUUACGGGUAAUGGAAUAAAAUCUUUAAAAAAAAGCGUGAAAUACUUUAAUUUUCUGAGGAAAAGAGAUUAAAAAAAAAAGAUGAAAUUGGUUUCGAUCUAUUUUGUACCAAUGCAUAUUUUCUAUUUUCAGAAUAGAUUUAAAGUCCACCUACUCGCAAUUUGUUUAAUCAUUUUUUUCUUAUGUAUAUUAUAUGUACAAGAAAGUGUUUAUAUUAUUUUCACGACGAUACAAGGGAUAAAUUGGGAAUGUAUUUCAACAGUUUUAAAUGACCAGCUUUUAUACACCGUAUUCUAGACACGAAAAACGGAUUUUCUGUUUGAAUGAGUAGGUCUGUCAUCUUUGUCGACUUUCCUAUUAAUUUCCCAUCCAAUUGUGCUUCACUUCCCAGGCAUACUGCAGGGUUUUAAAAUUACAUUUUUUAAAUAUUCAUAUAAUUAUAUAUGAUUGAUCAAGUAUCGAUCAGUACUACAAUCUGCUGUCAAUGUAGAGUAUUAUUUGUUGAAAUAAAGGUGUGUAGAACAUGGUGGAAUAAUUCUAAUCCUGUCACAUUUUGAUAUGGAGUACCUCUCAAGAAAAGAUGUAAAGCAGGUACUAAAAUUAAUACUUAUACGUGUAUAAGUUUGUCCGACUAUUUUGCGUUUUAAAUUCUACAUGCUAUCCGGCAGUUUAGAUGCGAGCACAUACUAGUUAUUUUUCUUUUUUCUACUUCUUAUUAUUUAUUAGUUAGCAACAUGUUUUCUUUUAUUUCUAUUUAUAAAAGGCGGCCACAUAUAAAGGAUGGAUAUUUUCAUCGUUUUGUUGAGUACAAAAAUCUAUGAAAAUAUAAUAAAGUAUUUUUUUCGUUUUUUUUAAGGAAAAUAUCUUAGUAACAUAUUAUGUUUUAGAUUUAAAUAAAGUUACACUGAAUAUUCAGUAUAUCAAAUUCAAUCAUACUGAAUAAACUAUUUAAAAGUAAAAACAAACAAAUAAUGUGAUGAACAAAAAAAAGUUUGAUGUUCAAAAACUAAACAGAAAAAAAACUGUCAUAAAUCGGAUAAAUUGGUUUUGAGCUGUAUUAAUAUUUGAUCAUAAAAAGAACGAAAACUAUUUUUGGUACAGAAAAGUUGCUUUUUUAUUUUAUAGUUUUGCUUAUUCAAUAAUCAUUUCUUUGCAUUAUCUGCUGUCUCCCUAUUUGCCAUAGUUUGAUUUUCAUAAUUGGUUUAUUUUUGUAUAAUUUUGAUGAAUCAAUUUGCUUGAUAAAAUUAUCAUAUAGCAUUACAAUGAAAUUAUCUGUCUGCAUAUUUACUUUCAUUAUUUUAUUUUUUUGUGUAAAAUAUACUAUAUAAAGAAAACUUUUAGAUAUUGCAUUUUAUUUCAAUCUGUGAAUCUUAUGGUAUGAUAGUCCGAUUGUUUAUUUGAAAAAAAAGUUAUUUAAACAAAGAUGUAGUUCAAAUAAUGCUUUUAGAAAUUAUUUUUUAUUUUCAAUUUGUUUUCUUUCUGGGUGAAUUGAAUUGACAUUAAAAAAAAUUAUGUUAGAUUACAAUAAAGAAUAUAAAACGAAUGAAUGUGAAAUUGAUUUGAAAACAUUGACCGACCCAUUCGUUGGGUUAAGACUUGAACUCUUGCUGAAAUGAAGUCCAAGAUGAGCGAAUAACAAAUUGUAUGUUUCAUUUGAUAUGUUGUGCUAAAGAUUUUGUUUUAAACAAGAAACAUUAAGUGAUGUUAAAAAUUUGUAAAAACAAAUAAACAUGAUAAAAGUAUACCAUGGUAAUCACAUGAACUCCCAACAGGGAGAGUCCUGUUGCCUCGUCUCUGUCGAACUGCAUGUAUAAUACAUACGUUUUCCAAACGAUAAUAUACCAACAUACUCUUUUACAUAUGAUAUGUUCUUUAAUUCAGAGAUGAUAUAUUUAUAUUUGUGUGCAGUGUUAUGUAGAAUGUUGUUUUGCUGUUCGCUUUUCCCCAUUUUGCCAUGAUAUUUUAUUGCCAUGGUAUUUAAUAGCCCCUAGAUAUCUUCUCCACAUUUUAUGAAUUAAAUAAAAUUUAUUAAAAUGACCACCAGUAUAAAAUAAAAGGGAAAUUUAGAAAAUAAAAAUUCCGAUCGUACUAGAGCUUAAUUGGUAGUCAAUGUCGUUUUAAACUCCCCUCGUCGCAUUAGAAAAGAACCUUUUGUUAUCAGAAUGAAAAAUGCCUCUAAAGUUUACAAAAUAUUCUAAUUUUCUAACCCUGUCAAAAUUAUGUUAAUUCUUAAUAAAUUUUGGUAAAAUAGUAAUGUCAUUGAAGUGCAAAUGUAUGUGUUCUCGCUGUGCCGUUUUAAAUUGUUUGAAUUGACGGAUCUGCUCAAAAAGGUAUUUUACUAAUCAUUUCGGUAAAAUUAUAUAUUAGCAUGCAACUGCGAAACUCUAAAACCGUUUUUUUUUUUUCUGAUAUCAUUAUAUCUUUGUUAAAACUCAUGUCGCUUAUAUAUUUUGGUAAGGUUUUUGCUCGUUUCUAGAUAUCAAAACGUGACAAAAAGUUUUAAAAAACCCAUAAGACAAAAGUUCAAUUUACUGACAAACCAAUUUCUAUGUUAAUGCAAGUAUAACAUUUAAACACAUUUGUGAUAAUUACAAAUAAUGCUGCCAUAGCAUACCUUCCCCUUUUAAAAUAUUUCAUAAAUAAGAGCCUCGUCAAUUUAGCAAAUUGGAACUCAAUAAGACCAUAUCAACCAUAUGAUUAAUCAUGUCUAUGAUACAUAUAAUGCUAUGUUCAAUAUUCUCACCAUUUGACAUUGAGUGAUUUUAUCAACAAAGAUAGAUAUGUGAAAUAAAAGAAUCAUAUUGAAAAUGACAAGAUAAAAUUUCCAGAAAAUUGUUAUAAUAUUUCUCUAGUACCUAAAGUACCUCGAUCCACCUCAAUUCCUAUGUUUUCGUUCAAAAUACGAAAAAAAGAACAGAAAUGAGACAACUUGCCAAUAGACAUAACAAAAUACUCUAGAGACUUGUUGAUUUUUGGUAUAAAAAUCAGAAGGAAAAGAAUUGUCCUUGGGUUUGCUAAGGCUGGUUUUAGUUUAAUUCUCAUGUUAAAACCAAUCUCCGAGAAUACAGCUGAUGCAGUGAAAUCUGUUUCUUUGUUAUAUGUUUUAUGCUUUAAAACAAAAACAGUUCAAACAAUGUGUUUAAGGUCUUGAGAUAUUUUUUUAUAAACAGCAACAUGGUAGAAAUUUUAACGCAAAAUGUUACUUGCAAAAAUCCAUAGCUUAUCGAAAAGUUCGCGAACUUUAAGCUCUAAUAAUACUUUGAUAUGAAAAACUUUAAUAGGAAUAUUUGGUAAUACAUGCACAUAAAAUAUUUAAUACUACAUUUUCCAUAAGUAUAUGUAAAUCCAAAUUAAUUGUUAGAAAUGCUGAAACCAUCUGUUGGUACCAGGAAAGCUGUUUCCCAUUGAUUUAUGUAGAAUACAAAGUCUUUCAUUCUUAUUUUUCAAUUAUAAAUUAUAAUUCGUAUGAGGAAAAUCUUUUUAUAUAUGCUUCUGUGAUGAUCUGUAUUCCCAAGAAUUAUUUAAAGAAGCUAGUAUGGUUUCCUAUUGUUGUCACUUCACGUCUUUCAAUUCAGGGUCACACGAUUGAUACUUGUAUUGAAUUUUUAUUGUAUUAAAUUUUUUUAUUGACAUGUAGACAUUCUUAUUUUAUCUUGAUUAUAUUUGAAUGCUAUUAUAUACAUAUAUUGUAAUCCUAGGUUUUAUUGAUGAAAAUUCCCCGAAAUAUUAAAGUAUAUAAAUAGAAACUAAACAUUUAUAUAUAACUGAACUAAACCAUUAGCAAGGUUCCGUACAAUAUGUAAGCAUUUUCAAAAAAAACAUGUUAAAACUGGCUGUUAUAUAUUUCCUAUUUUUUAAGCAUCUCUCUAGCGAUAUUAAAAUCCGGUAAACUCACAUUUUUAAUGUAGUCAUAAGUCCUGACAGCUCGUCUUCGUUAUCUUAAACUGUCUAUUGGUUUUAAAAUCUUAUUUCAAAACAGGAUAUUCAACAACAAAAAAUAGUGCAAAGACUUGUAUAAACACAAAAAGGUUUUACAAACAUUUUUUUUUAAUGAAAUAGGGAACACUGUCAAAAUUAAAUAUCAUGUUAUAUUUAAAAAAAACCUGUUGGAUUCAUGAGUAUUACAUGUACAACAUAUUGUGGAACAGCAAAUUUUAGUUUCUUUGUCAAAUCUUAUGAAUUCAUUAUUGACCACAAAUCAUCAAAUUAUGGAAUAAUAAAGUAAACAGGCUAAUUCACGGUAAAUUGUUUUCUGUUGAUACUUUCCUCCAAAUUUGUAAAACUCUUUUUAUUUCAUAAAGAUUUAUACAAAAGUAAACCUUACUUAAUGUUAAAAUGUAUGUAUCAUUUAUGAGAUUAAAAUAUGUAAUUAUUUCAGGUGAAAAUCUCCUAGGCAACACAGUAACAGCCGACCAACAGAAAGAGAACGGAUUAGGAGAUCAUGAAUAAAAAGUAAAAAGGAGCAAUCGAUUUGAACGUAUUCAAACAGAAAACCCGCUGUAGCAACGAAUAAAUCUCAUUAUUAAAAGUCGCUAAAGCGCAAGGUUUCGUUGCAACAUGUGUCGUCAGUCCACAUCAUAAGUAGGUAUACAGUCUUACCGAGAUGUCGUCUGAUGAAAGACGUGCUGAGUCCGCUCCAAGGGUGAGUCCACUUAACUGUAUCUUUAAAAUGAAAAAAAAUAUAUUACAAAAAGUUUAUUUAAAAACAUUUAGGAUCUUUUUAAAAUGGUGAAACAUAUUAUAUGUGAUUUAAUUUGCGCAAAGUGGAUACUGCAUCGAAGCUCUGUCAGAAAAGUAUCGUUAUAACUGUCCUAUGCAUUAUUUUGCACAGCACUAUUAAUUAAAAGCUGUGAGGACCAAAUGGAAUUAUCAAAAAUCGAAUAUUGCGACUCAGUAAAAUUUGAUGUUACACACAGAUUUACUUUCAUUCGUCAUUAAAUCAAUUUCUACCUUAAUCUUCUUUGCUUCAUUUGAAUAAUUAUAUUUGAAUCAUUGGCACCUAGCAGAAUUCGCAUUGCCAACGUGGCAAAUAAUUCCGCUACACAAAAUAGUGCAACAUGUCGUUUCCAAUUUACAUUUUAUUGAUUAGUUUUUUUUUAUAUGACAUUAAAUAAGAAGUUUUGAAGCUGUUUAGUUGAUUCAUAACUGUGGUGUAACAAUCAUGGUGGUCGCUUUUUUAAUUGCUUCUUGUCUGAAUCAGGUAGUAUGGUUCUCACAGAAAGCUGGUUUGCAAUGGAUGUUUUUUUACCGGGAUGAUGACAAUUUAUGGCGAUUUAAUGAGGGAAUUGAUUCAGCAAGACGUUUACCGUGCAUCGACAGAAUCUUAAACACGGUGGUCUCCUAAGAGCACAUGUCGAGUCACGUGACAAAGUUUCUUCUCACCUUUUGAUUGUUGCUCAGAAAGCCAGUGAAUUUAUAGUGGCUAUCGAGCAGCAAUCAAAGAUUGAAGGAGGGUAUACAACAACAAAGAACAUUCAACAAGAAGAAGGAAAAGCAUUAUAGUUCCAGUCAAUAUAGCAGAAUUUUCGGAAAAGACGUGUCCGAACAGAUUUCUUGGCAGACUUAAAGGGAUUACUUAACAUUUGGAUAGUUCAAAAAAAUCAUUUACUACUUCACAGAACG